Molecule: ribosomal RNA, 807 nt
Filed under: uncultured bacterium
Lineage: Bacteria
Description: bacterial SSU rRNA
Rfam family: Bacterial small subunit ribosomal RNA
Source: RNAcentral
AGAGCUUGAUCCUGGCUCAGGACGAACGCUGGCGGCGUGCUUAACACAUGCAAGUCGAACGAUGAAGCCUAGCUUGCUAGGUGGAUUAGUGGCGAACGGGUGAGUAAUACGUGAGUAACCUACCUUUAACUCUGGGAUAAGCCUGGGAAACUGGGUCUAAUACCGGAUACGACCAAUCUCCGCAUGGAGUGUUGGUGGAAAGCGUUAUGUAGUGGUUAUAGAUGGGCUCACGGCCUAUCAGCUUGUUGGUGAGGUAACGGCUCACCAAGGCGACGACGGGUAGCCGGCCUGAGAGGGUGACCGGCCACACUGGGACUGAGACACGGCCCAGACUCCUACGGGAGGCAGCAGUGGGGAAUAUUGCACAAUGGGCGCAAGCCUGAUGCAGCGACGCCGCGUGAGGGAUGACGGCCUUCGGGUUGUAAAGCUCUGUUGUAAGGGAAGAACGGUAGAUAGAGAAUAUCUAAAUGACGGUACCUUACCAGAAAGCCACGGCUAACUACGUGCCAGCAGCCGCGGUAAUACGUAGGGCGCGAGCGUUGUCCGGAAUUAUUGGGCGUAAAGAGCUUGUAGGCGGCUUGUCGCGUCUGCUGUGAAAGGCCGGGGCUUAACCCCGUGUAUUGCAGUGGGUACGGGCAGACUAGAGUGCAGUAGGGGAGACUGGAAUUCCUGGUGUAGCGGUGGAAUGCGCAGAUAUCAGGAGGAACACCGAUGGCGAAGGCAGGUCUCUGGGCUGUAACUGACGCUGAGAAGCGAAAGCAUGGGGAGCGAACAAGAUUAGAUACCCUGGUAGUCCAUGCCGUAAAC